RNAcentral lists this ribosomal RNA (653 nucleotides) under Nocardioides aquiterrae. Its description in RNAcentral is "bacterial SSU rRNA". It matches the Rfam family "Bacterial small subunit ribosomal RNA", at positions 222 to 885 of the family's 1533-position model. The record is from RNAcentral. Lineage: Bacteria; Bacillati; Actinomycetota; Actinomycetes; Propionibacteriales; Nocardioidaceae.
CACUCCAUGGCUCGGCCUAUCAGCUUGUUGGUGGGGUAAUGGCCUACCAAGGCUUCGACGGGUAGCCGGCCUGAGAGGGUGACCGGUCACACUGGGACUGAGACACGGCCCAGACUCCUAUGGGAGGCAGCAGUGGGGAAUAUUGGACAAUGGGCGGAAGCCUGAUCCAGCAACGCCGCGUGAGGGAUGACGGCCUUCGGGUUGUAAACCUCUUUCAGUACCGACGAAGCGAAAGUGACGGUAGGUACAGAAGAAGCACCGGCCAACUACGUGCCAGCAGCCGCGGUAAUACGUAGGGUGCGAGCGUUGUCCGUAAUUAUUGGGCGUAAAGGGCUCGUAGGCGGUUUGUCGCGUCGGGAGUGAAAACACCGUGCUUAUCACGGUGCUUGCUUUCGAUACGGGCAGACUAGAGGCAUGCAGGGGAGAACGGAAUUCCUGGUGUAGCGGUGAAAUGCGCAGAUAUCAGGAGGAACACCGGUGGCGAAGGCGGUUCUCUGGGCAUGUCCUGACGCUGAGGAGCGAAAGUGUGGGGAGCGAACAGGAUUAGAUACCCUGGUAGUCCACACCGUAAACGUUGGGCGCUAGGUGUGGGAUCCAUUCCACGGGUUCCGUGCCGCAGCUAACGCAUUAAGCGCCCCGCCUGGGGAGUACGG